CUCAGAAGUCGUUGCCACCUGUCACAUACGAACGAUUAAGUUGUCAUCAUCCUCUUCAUGUAGCUCUACUGCUGCUGCAACGGUGUCGUUUCGCCACUGACAAUUAAAAAGUUAAAACCACCAACCUCUCUCGAUCAAGUCAUCAGCACGAAUCACAUUCCGAGCUAAACGACGACGUUUUAGUGGUAAAACUAUAGAAAUUGUUUCAGAGUUCUUAGUGCUAUUUAACCCUACUGGAAUAUACUCAUACUUAUUGCUACAUAUUAUUAUUAUUAUUAUUAUUAUUAUUAUUAUUAUUAUUAUUGAAGAUGCAUAAGUUAAUUGAUAGAUUACUGAGUGUUACACAGAGAAAUUAACAGGGUUAAAUUAUUGAAUGUGUAGCAUUAUGGUAAUAUAGAUUGAGAUUUAUGUGGUCAACCAAUAAUUUGAGAAGAUUUGAUGAUCAAUUCAAAGAUUCAAAGUUGUUGUAACAAAGAAGUAGACUUGAGCUUUUAAGAUUAGCAUUUGGCUCAGGUGCUUACUGUAGAAGAAUGGAUUGGUCCAUGCAAUUACCAUUAUAAAUUUAAUUACCAUGAUAAACCAUGUGCCUUCAGAUCUUCCACGAUUAGUGCUGCAUUUUCUUCUGCUUGCAUCUGUUCUGUAUGUAAGUCUGCUGAUAAAUUUCAUUUAUUUUUUCUAUGUAUAUGAAAUAUGAAAACCAACAUUUUUGCUAACUCGUGUUUGGAUUUCUUAGAGUUGAGGUGAUUAUGUAUAUAACUUAAACGACUUGUACUAUUGCUGGUGAAUAUGGAUUGAGAUGGAUGUAGGUGAUCGAUCAAUAAAUUUGAGAAUUUCUUGAAAGUCUAUGCAAAGCUGGGAAUAUAUAAUAAACAAUUGAGAUCAUAUUAUACAGAAUAUGCCAUUAUCCUUUUUUUUCCCGCUAUUUACAAUUAUUUCUUACUAAGUCUCCCCCCUGAAACUCUAUCCAAUAGAAUGGAAACAGAACAUAAUGAUAACAUGCACCCAGUUAGGCCUCCUUGCUGAACCAACAACCAAGCAUUAAAAUACUAGAGUGAUCCUUAGUUUAUGCGAACCUAUUCAACUAGGUUUUGCUGAUAUUUCAGAAUCUGUGAGUUAGGAUCCUUGAAAAAUCAUAGUCAUGUCCAGCUGAAUGCUAUUGGACUAGCAACCUUAUGGUUUCCAUCUGACCAUUCCAGAUAAGCAAAGCUAUUUGUGCCGGAAGGCAUCGAAGUAGUUGUAAAUGUC
Molecule: long non-coding RNA, 1245 nt
Filed under: Arachis ipaensis
Lineage: Eukaryota; Viridiplantae; Streptophyta; Magnoliopsida; Fabales; Fabaceae
Description: long non-coding RNA (AIPA_LNC001613)
Source: RNAcentral